RNAcentral lists this ribosomal RNA (253 nucleotides) under uncultured bacterium. Its description in RNAcentral is "partial 16S ribosomal RNA". It matches the Rfam family "Bacterial small subunit ribosomal RNA", at positions 524 to 776 of the family's 1533-position model. The record is from RNAcentral.
UACAGAGGGUGCGAGCGUUGUCCGGAAUUACUGGGCGUAAAGGGCGCGUAGGUGGCUCGAUAAGUAGGAGGUGAAAUCUCACGGCUCAACCGGGAGGCUGCCUUCUAGACUGUCGAGCUCGAGCAUGGUAGAGGCGGAUGGAAUUCCCGGAGUAGCGGUGGAAUGCGUAGAGAUCGGGAAGAACACCAGUGGCGAAGGCGGUCCGCUGGGCCAUAGCUGACACUGAGGCGCGACAGCGUGGGGAGCAAACAGG